RNAcentral lists this ribosomal RNA (512 nucleotides) under uncultured bacterium. RNAcentral describes it as "partial 16S ribosomal RNA". It matches the Rfam family "Bacterial small subunit ribosomal RNA", at positions 28 to 523 of the family's 1533-position model. The record is from RNAcentral.
GAUGAACGCUGGCGGCGUGCCUAAUACAUGCAAGUCGAGCGAAUGAAGAGGAGCUUGCUCCUCUGAUUUAGCGGCGGACGGGUGAGUAACACGUGGGUAAUCUGCCUGUAAGACGGGGAUAACUCCGGGAAACCGGGGCUAAUACCGGAUAAUAAAAAGAAACGCAUGUUUCUUUUUUGAAAGUUGGUUUCGGCUAACACUUACAGAUGAGCCCGCGGCGCAUUAGCUAGUUGGUGAGGUAACGGCUCACCAAGGCGACGAUGCGUAGCCGACCUGAGAGGGUGAUCGGCCACACUGGGACUGAGACACGGCCCAGACUCCUACGGGGGGCAGCAGUAGGGAAUCUUCGGCAAUGGGCGAAAGCCUGACCGAGCAACGCCGCGUGAGCGAUGAAGGCCUUCGGGUCGUAAAGCUCUGUUGUUAGGGAAGAACACGUACGAGAGUAACUGCUCGUACCUUGACGGUACCUAACCAGAAGGCCACGGCUAACUACGUGCCAGCCGCCGCCGUAA